Molecule: RNA transcript, 2665 nt
Organism: Sapajus apella (tufted capuchin)
Lineage: Eukaryota; Metazoa; Chordata; Mammalia; Primates; Cebidae
Gene name: NAD-dependent protein deacetylase sirtuin-1 pseudogene
Exons: 2
Source: RefSeq, a predicted model, not a curated record
AUGCUCCCAAUCGGAAGUGAUUGUGCCCUUGGCUGCGGGGCGGAGCAUGUCACCUAUCGGAAUCCAACAGGAGCGUCCCUCUCGCCACCUCUCCAAGACUGUUCGUGGGACACCUGCUUCCCUAAAAAAAAAAAUGCCAAACUUCGCUGUAAUCCUGUAAAGCUUUCAGAAAUUACUGAAAAACCUCCACGAACACAAAAAGAGUUGGCUUAUUUGUCAGAGUUGCCACCCACACCUCUUCAUAUUUCAGAAGACUCAAGUUCACCAGAAAGACCUUCACCACCAGAUCCUUCAGUGAUUGUCACACUUUUAGACCAAGCAACUAAGAGUAAUGUUGAUGAUUUAGACGUGUCUGAAUCAAAAGGUUGUAUGGAAGAAAAACCACAAGAAGUACAGACUUCUAGGAAUGUUGAAAGUAUUUCUGAACAGAUGGAAAAUCCGGAUUUGAAGAAUGUUGGUUCCAGUACUGGGGAGAAAAAUGAAAGAACUUCAGUGGCUGGAACAGUGAGAAAGUGCUGGCCUAGUAGAGUGGCAAAGGAGCAGAUUAGUAAGCGGCUUGAUGGUAAUCAAUAUCUGUUUUUGCCACCAAAUCGUUAUAUUUUCCGUGGCGCUAAGUUAUAUUCAGACUCUGAAGAUGACGUCUUAUCCUCUAGUUCUUGUGGCAGUAACAGUGAUAGUGGGACAUGCCAGAGUCCAAGUUUAGAAGAACCCAUGGAGGAUGAAAGUGAAAUUGAAGAAUUCUACAGUGGCUUAGAAGAUGAGCCUGACGUUCCAGAGAGAGCUGGAGAAGCUGGAUUUGGGACUGAUGGAGAUGAUCGAGAGGCAAUUAAUGAAGCUGUAUCUAUGAAACAGGAAGUAACAGACAUGAACUAUCCAUCAAACAAAUCAUAGUGUAAUAAUUGUGCAGGUACAGGAAUUGUUCCACUGGCAUUAGGAACUUUAGCAUGUGAAAAUGAAUGUUUACUUGUGAACUCAAUAGAGCAAGGAAACCAGAAGGUGUAAUAUUUAUAGAUUGAUAAAAUAGAUUGUUUUUCAUGGAUAAUUUUUAACUUCAUUAUUUCUGUACUUGUACAAACUCAACACUAACUUUUUUUUUUUUUAAAGAAAGGUACUAAGUAUCUUUAAUCAGCUAUCGGUCAAGAUUAACUUUCUUUUAAAGGUUCAUUUGUAUGAUAAAUUCAUAUGUAUAUAUAAUUUUUUUUUGUUUUUGCCUAGUGAGUUUCAACAUUUUUCAAGUUUUCAAAAAGCCAUCAGAAUGUUAAAUUAAUGUAAAGGGAACGGCUCAUCUAGACCAAAGAAUUGUAUUUUCACUUUUCUUUGUAACAUUGAAUGGUUUGAAGUACUCAAAAUCUGUUACGCUAAACUUGGAUUCUUUAACACAGUUAUUUAUUUUUAAACACUGGCAUUUUCCAAAACUUGUGGCAGCUAACUUUUUAAAAUCUCAAGUGACAUGCAAUGUGAGUAGAAGGAAGUCAACAAAAUGUAGGCGAGCACUCGGUUGUCUUUACUUUUGAAAGUAAUACUUGGUGCUAAGAAUUUCAGGAUUAUUGUAUUUAUUGUUCAAAUGAAGAUGGCUUUUGUACUUCUUGUGGUCAUGUAGUAAUGUCUAUAUUGGAUCAUAGAACUAACCUGAAAAACAAAUAAAUGCUUUGGAAAUGUUUCAGUUGCUUUAGAAACAAUAGUGCCUGCCUGGAUCCCCUUAGUUUUGAAAUAUUUGCCAUUGUUGUUUAAAUACGUAUCACUGUGGUAGAGCUUGCAUUGAUCUUUUCCACAAGUAUUAAACUGCCAAAAUGUGAAUAUGCAAAGCCUUUCUGAAUCUAUAAUAAUAGUACUUCUAGUAGGGAGAGUGUAAUAUUUUGGACUGCUCUUUUCCAUUAAUGAGGAGAGCAACAGGCCCCUGAUAACAGUUCCAAAGUAAUAAUAUGUUAAUUAUAACUCAGCCAGAAAAUACAUGUCUCCCAUUGGGAGGAUUUGGUGUUCAAUACCAAAAUGCUAGCCUAGUAUUAUGGAGAUGAACAUGAUGUAAUAGCAGAGUAGUUAAUGAAUGAAGCUAGUUCUUAUAAUUUAUCUUUAUUUAAAAGCUUAGCCUGCCUUAAAACUAGAGAUCAACUUUCUCAGCUGCAAAAGCUUCUAGUAAGUUCAUACUUUAUGAAAUUGCACAGUAACCAUUUAUUUUUCAGACCAUUUUUGAACAUUAUUCCUAAAUUAAUAAAGUAUUCCUACGUUGCUUUAGUAUUUAUUACAAUAAAAAGGCUUUGAAAUAUAACUGUUCUUUAUGCGUAAAAUACCCGGCUAAGACCAUUACUGCCAGAGGAAAAAAAAUCAUAUUGAAUGGCCAUUUCCCUACCUAAAAGAUGUCUCAAUCUGAAUUUAUUUGGCUACACUAAAGAAUGCAGUUUAUUUAGUUUUCCAUUUGCAUGGUGUGUUUGUGCUAUAGAUGAUAUUUUAUAUUGAAAAGUUUGUUUUAAAUUAUUUUUACAGUGAAGACUGUUUUCAGCUCUUUUCAUAUUGUACAUAGUCUUUUAUGUAAUCUACUGGCAUAUGUUUUGUAGGCUGUUUAAUGACUGGAUAUCUUUCUUCAACUUUUGAAAUACAAAACCAGUGUUUUUUACUUGUACACUGUUUUAAAGUCUAUUAAAAUUGUCAUUUGACUUUUUUCUGUUAA